GAUAGGUUAAGUUAAUAAGGGCGCAUGGUGGAUGCCUUGGCACUAGAAGGCGAUGAAGGACGUGACUAACUACGAUAUGCCUCGGUUAGCUGUAAGUAAGCUUACCCGGGGGUUUCCGAAUGGGGCAACCCGAUCUUAAUGAUCAUCAUCUUUUUGAAUUCAUAGAUUAGAUGAAGCAAACGCUGUGAACUGAAACAUCUAAGUAGCAGUAGGAAAGUAAAGAAAUUUCGAUUCCGUCAGUAGCGGCGAGCGAACGCGGAAGAGCCCAAACCUGGAUGCUUGCAUCCAGGGGUUGUAGGACUGAUGUUGAGUUACAAAGGUAUAAGAUAGCAGAAACAGUUGGGAAGCUGUUCCAAAGAGGGUGACAGGCCCGUAUGCGAAAUCUUGUACUCUCUAAUCAGGAUCCUGAGUACGGCCCAGCACGUGAAAUUGGGUCGGAAUCUGGGAGGACCAUCUCCCAAGGCUAAAUACUAACUAGUGACCGAUAGCGAACAAGUACCGUGAGGGAAAGGUGAAAAGAACCCCGGAAGGGGAGUGAAAUAGUUCUUGAAACCGUGUGCUUACAAGAAGUUCGAGGCCGUUAAUGGCUGAGAGCGUGCUUUUUGUAGAAUGAACCGGAGAGUUACGAUUGCGUGCAAGGUUAAGGUGCAAAGACUGGAGCCGUAGCGAAAGCGAGUCUUAAUAGGGCGAAUCAGUACGUAGU
RNAcentral lists this ribosomal RNA (703 nucleotides) under Oenococcus oeni. Its description in RNAcentral is "bacterial LSU rRNA". It matches the Rfam family "Bacterial large subunit ribosomal RNA", at positions 1 to 707 of the family's 2925-position model. Lineage: Bacteria; Bacillati; Bacillota; Bacilli; Lactobacillales; Lactobacillaceae. The record is from RNAcentral.